GUGGGGAAUCUUAGACAAUGGGCGCAAGCCUGAUCUAGCCAUGCCGCGUGAGCGAUGAAGGCCUUAGGGUUGUAAAGCUCUUUCGUGGGGGAAGAUAAUGACUGUACCCCAAGAAGAAGCCCCGGCUAACUCCGUGCCAGCAGCCGCGGUAAUACGGAGGGGGCUAGCGUUGUUCGGAAUUACUGGGCGUAAAGCGCACGUAGGCGGACUGGAAAGUCAGGGGUGAAAUCCCGGGGCUCAACCCCGGAACUGCCUUUGAAACUCCCAGUCUUGAGUUCGAGAAAGGUGAGUGGAAUUCCGAGUGUAGAGGUGAAAUUCGUAGAUAUUCGGAGGAACACCAGUGGCGAAGGCGGCUCACUGGCUCGAUACUGACGCUGAGGUGCGAAAGCGUGGGGAGCAAACAGGAUUAGAAACCCUAGUAGUCC
RNAcentral lists this ribosomal RNA (425 nucleotides) under uncultured bacterium. RNAcentral's name for it is "partial 16S ribosomal RNA". It matches the Rfam family "Bacterial small subunit ribosomal RNA", at positions 354 to 796 of the family's 1533-position model. The record is from RNAcentral.